AGUGAGCGCUGGCGGUAGGCCUAACACAUGCAAGUCGAACGGCAGCACAGGAGAGCUUGCUCUCUGGGUGGCGAGUGGCGGACGGGUGAGGAAUACAUCGGAAUCUGCCCAGUCGUGGGGGAUAACGUAGGGAAACUUACGCUAAUACCGCAUACGACCUUCGGGUGAAAGAGGGGGAUCGCAAGACCUCUCGCGAUUGGAUGAGCCGAUGUCGGAUUAGCUAGUUGGCGGGGUAAUGGCCCACCAAGGCGACGAUCCGUAGCUGGUCUGAGAGGAUGAUCAGCCACACUGGAACUGGGACACGGUCCAGACUCCUACGGGAGGCAGCAGUGGGGAAUAUUGGACAAUGGGCGCAAGCCUGAUCCAGCCAUACCGCGUGGGUGAAGAAGGCCUUCGGGUUGUAAAGCCCUUUUGUUGGGAAAGAAAUCUUUCAGGCUAAUACCCUGGGAGGAUGACGGUACCCAAAGAAUAAGCACCGGCUAACUUCGUG
Molecule: ribosomal RNA, 490 nt
Filed under: uncultured bacterium
Lineage: Bacteria
Description: partial 16S ribosomal RNA
Rfam family: Bacterial small subunit ribosomal RNA
Source: RNAcentral